Non-coding RNA from Nasonia vitripennis (jewel wasp), 45 nucleotides. The record is from Rfam. NCBI's taxonomy places the organism in Eukaryota, Metazoa, Arthropoda, Insecta, Hymenoptera, Pteromalidae.
CAAUCGGCCCUUUUCAGGGCCAACAUAAUUUUCAAACGUUGAACA